Ipomoea triloba (trilobed morning glory) is the source of this 277-nucleotide long non-coding RNA. RefSeq lists it as uncharacterized. NCBI's taxonomy places the organism in Eukaryota, Viridiplantae, Streptophyta, Magnoliopsida, Solanales, Convolvulaceae. The transcript has 3 exons. The record is from RefSeq and is a predicted model, not a curated record.
UUUGAUUUUAUUUAGUUAUCCUUUAUGUUGUUAUAAUAACUUGGGUAUGCUUUAUUCAAUCGGUUGGAGGUCUACGCGCAAAUGAGGGGGGUCAAUUAAAUGUUGGGGCCCUGACUGAAACGUUUGGUGGGCGUUGUUCCUGUAGUUGCUGGAGUAUGGGGAGUGGUUGGUGGGCCCUUCACGGUAGGGUGUUAGUUUAAGUGACAUUGUAGAUGGUCGGUCGUUCGUUACACCCACGGAGGUUGUUCCUCGUGUGGGUUCCACAUUUGUUUGUCUU